Molecule: ribosomal RNA, 433 nt
Filed under: uncultured bacterium
Lineage: Bacteria
Description: partial 16S ribosomal RNA
Rfam family: Bacterial small subunit ribosomal RNA
Source: RNAcentral
AACGAACGCUGGCGGCAUGCCUAACACAUGCAAGUCGAACGAGACCUUCGGGUCUAGUGGCGCACGGGUGCGUAACGCGUGGGAACCUGCCCUUAGGUUCGGAAUAACUCCCCGAAAGGGGUGCUAAUACCGGAUAAUGUCUUCGGACCAAAGAUUUAUCGCCUUUGGAUGGGCCCGCGUUGGAUUAGCUAGUUGGUAGGGUAAAAGCCUACCAAGGCGACGAUCCAUAGCUGGUCUGGGAGGAUGAUCAACCACACUGGGACUGAGACACGGCCCAGACUCCUACGGGAGGCAGCAGUGGGGAAUAUUGGACAAUGGGCGAAAGCCUGAUCCAGCAAUGCCGCGUGAGUGAUGAAGGCCUUAGGGUUGUAAAGCUCUUUUACCCGGGAUGAUAAUGACAGUACCGGGAGAAUAAGCUCCGGCUAACUCCGUG